AUGGCCGACGGCGCGCGGCAGGGCGGGAGCGGCAGGGCGGGGGCGGCAGGGCGGCGUGCUCCUACUGGUGCUGCCGAUGCGGGCGAGGGAAGAGAGGAAUCAGGAGAGGUGCUCACGGGCGGCGCAAAUCGUCUCCUUGGUGGCCAAGGGGCUCGCCGGGGCGGCAGGGAAGGCCGGCUGCAGGGCGAACUGGUAGGGGGCGCCGAGGGGAUCCGUUCCCGUGAGCGGCAUCCCGAGGAAGGCGCUGGAGUUGGCCGGAAUCGGGCGGUCAAUGGAAGGACGGGGGGCGCCGCCAUUGAAGCGAGGGGAUCAAAGGUCGAGGAGGCCCUCCGUGUAGGAUCUAGGACCAUCGCGGACGCGGCGGCGGCGCGCCCAAGCUCGGGCGCACCACUACAGGGCGGAGGGCCGGCGAGGGCCAGGCGGCGGGAGGAACGGCGGGGAGGGCAUGAGUAA
RNAcentral lists this ribosomal RNA (453 nucleotides) under Triticum aestivum (bread wheat). RNAcentral describes it as "partial small subunit ribosomal RNA". The record is from RNAcentral. Lineage: Eukaryota; Viridiplantae; Streptophyta; Magnoliopsida; Poales; Poaceae.